Molecule: transfer RNA, 82 nt
Filed under: Omphalotus olearius VT 653.13
Lineage: Eukaryota; Fungi; Basidiomycota; Agaricomycetes; Agaricales; Omphalotaceae
Description: tRNA-Ser (CGA) (tRNA-Ser-CGA-2-1)
Rfam family: tRNA
About the family: Transfer RNA (tRNA) molecules are approximately 80 nucleotides in length. Their secondary structure includes four short double-helical elements and three loops (D, anti-codon, and T loops).
Source: RNAcentral
GGCACUAUAGCCAAGUGGUUACGGCGACAGAUUCGAAAUCUGUUACUCUUUGAGUGCGCAGGUUCAAAUCCUGCUGGUGUCG